This is a long non-coding RNA of Apis dorsata (giant honeybee), 836 nucleotides long. RefSeq lists it as uncharacterized. The transcript has 2 exons. Lineage: Eukaryota; Metazoa; Arthropoda; Insecta; Hymenoptera; Apidae. The record is from RefSeq and is a predicted model, not a curated record.
AUAAAAGUAAAAAAAAAUAUUGAAUAAAUAUUCAAAUAAUUUUACAAAUAUUCUAUAUAAUUCCAUAUAUGUUUACAGAUGAAAGUUCUCUUGAUUCAAAGAUGCCUGUGCGUUUUAGACUGGGUUUAAAUAAACAAGAUUCCAGAGAGUCAAAAGUUUCACGAAAGACGUCUAAAAGACAAGGUCGCAAGGAGUAAACUAAACGUGUGUUCUUCUGAUUGCUUAUAUAUAUAUGAAGAGUGCAUAGCUGUUCAUCUUACCUCCUAUUUUAUUAUCAGCAUAUGAAGAUAAAAUCUAUUAAAACUUUAAUUGUAUUAAAAAUUGCACUCUUGUAGAAGAAAUAUCUGUUUUAUUUGGCGUGUGAUCUAGCAUAAAAAUGAAAAAAACAUUCUUCUAGAAGACAAUAUCAAUAUUUCAAAGUACUUUUAUGUAUGAUUGUAUCUAAUUAUUUAUUGUUAAGUGUUAUAGUAGAUAGUUGAUUAUAUGUGAUUAUAAAUCAUUUGUUGUGUUAAAGUAUUUGUAAAUAAUUUACAUCAGUCACUCAUUUAAUAAAUAAGUAUCAUUAAUAAUCAAAGUCCCAAAGUCACCUUUUGUAAACCUAAGUAUAUUAGUAUUUUAAAAAAUUCUGUAUAAAGGAAUCGAUUGUAAAUAAGAAUGUUGUUAAUAAGCGUGCAAAGUGAAAAAUAAGUUGUAUAUCAUGUAAAUUGAGUUACUAAUAAUAUUAAGAUAUUGAAUACACUAUAUAAAGUGACUUCUAUAGCAAUAGAAAAAUGAUUUUAUUAAAAUAUAUUUUAUUACAUAGUUUAAAAAGUGACAAGCACGAAGAUUUGAAAUUU